Molecule: long non-coding RNA, 460 nt
Organism: Malaclemys terrapin pileata
Lineage: Eukaryota; Metazoa; Chordata; Testudines; Emydidae
Exons: 3
Source: RefSeq, a predicted model, not a curated record
AAGAAACUGACGUCCUCCCUGGAUGGUAUGCAGUGUAGUUAUAGCCAUGUGGGUCCCAGGAUAUUACUAAGAGACAACAUGGUGGCCAAUGUCAGGAACGCCAGAGGGAAAGAACAGAACAGAUUAUUUAUGAAUAUGUUGAAUAGGACUGGUCCCAGUACAGACACCUGGAGGACACCACCAUUUACCUUUCUCCAUUCUGAAAAUUGACUAUUUAUUUCUACUCUUUGUUCCUAUCUUUUAACCAGUUACCAAUCCAUGAGAGGACCUUCCCUCUUAUUUCAUGGCAGCUUACUUUGUUUAAGAGCCUUUGGUGAGGGACUUCGUCAAAGGCUUUCUGAAAAUCUAAGUACACUAUAUCCACUGAAUCCCCCUUGUCCACAUGCUUGUUGACCCCCUCAAAGAAUUCUAGUAGACCGAUGAGGCAUAAUUUCUCUUUACAAAAACCAUGUUGACUCUU